GUUGGCUCAGUGGUUAAGAGCACUAGACUUAUCUUCCAGAGGUCCUGAGUUCAGUUCCCAGCAACG
Molecule: transfer RNA, 66 nt
Filed under: Mus musculus (house mouse)
Lineage: Eukaryota; Metazoa; Chordata; Mammalia; Rodentia; Muridae
Rfam family: tRNA
About the family: Transfer RNA (tRNA) molecules are approximately 80 nucleotides in length.
Source: Rfam by way of RNAcentral